This 222-nucleotide ribosomal RNA is filed under the name uncultured bacterium. Its description in RNAcentral is "partial 16S ribosomal RNA". It matches the Rfam family "Bacterial small subunit ribosomal RNA", at positions 328 to 539 of the family's 1533-position model. The record is from RNAcentral.
ACGCUCGACACCUCGGGAGGUAGCAGUAGGGAAUCUUCCACAAUGGGCGCAAGCCUGAUGGAGCAACACCGCGUGAGUGAAGAAGGGUUUCGGCUCGUAAAGCUCUGUUGUUGGAGAAGAACGUGCGUGAGAGUAACUGUUCACGCAGUGACGGUAUCCAACCAGAAAGUCACGGCUAACUACGUGCCAGCAGCCGCGGUAAUCUGAGCGGGCUGGCAAGGC